GACGAACGCUGGCGGCGUGCCUAAUACAUGCAAGUCGAACGCAUUUUCUUUCACCGGAGCUUGCUACACCGAAAGAAAAUGAGUGGCGAACGGGUGAGUAACACGUGGGUAACCUGCCCAUCAGCGGGGGAUAACACUUGGAAACAGGUGCUAAUACCGCAUAAUUCCAUUUACCGCAUGGUAAAUGGAUGAAAGGCGCUUUUGCGUCACUGAUGGAUGGACCCGCGGUGCAUUAGCUAGUUGGUGGGGUAACGGCCUACCAAGGCUGCGAUGCAUAGCCGACCUGAGAGGGUGAUCGGCCACACUGGGACUGAGACACGGCCCAGACUCCUACGGGAGGCAGCAGUAGGGAAUCUUCGGCAAUGGACGCAAGUCUGACCGAGCAACGCCGCGUGAGUGAAGAAGGUUUUCGGAUCGUAAAACUCUGUUGUUAGAGAAGAACAAGGAUGAGAGUGGAAAGUUCAUCCCUUGACGGUAUCUAACCAGAAAGCCACGGCUAACUACGUG
This 507-nucleotide ribosomal RNA is filed under the name uncultured bacterium. Its description in RNAcentral is "partial 16S ribosomal RNA". It matches the Rfam family "Bacterial small subunit ribosomal RNA", at positions 28 to 507 of the family's 1533-position model. The record is from RNAcentral.